UACGAGGGGGGCAAGCGUUGUUCGGAAUUAUUGGGCGUAAAGGGCGCGUAGGCGGUGCGGUAAGUCACCUGUGAAAACUCUGGGCUCAACUCAGAGCCUGCAGGCGAAACUGCCGUGCUUGAGUGUGGGAGAGGUGAGUGGAAUUCCUGGUGUAGCGGUGAAAUGCGUAGAUAUCAGGAGGAACACCUGUGGCGAAAGCGGCUCACUGGACCAUAACUGACGCUGAUGCACGAAAGCUAGGGGAGCAAACAGG
This 253-nucleotide ribosomal RNA is filed under the name uncultured bacterium. RNAcentral describes it as "partial 16S ribosomal RNA". It matches the Rfam family "Bacterial small subunit ribosomal RNA", at positions 524 to 776 of the family's 1533-position model. The record is from RNAcentral.